CCUACGGGGGGCAGCAGUGAGGAAUAUUGGUCAAUGGGCGGGAGCCUGAACCAGCCAAGUCGCGUGAGGGAAGACGGUCCUAUGGAUUGUAAACCUCUUUAGGCGGGGAGCAAUGCCGGGCACGCGUGCCCGGAGGGAGAGUACCCGCAGAAUAAGCCUCGGCUAACUCCGUGCCAGCAGCCGCGGUAAUACGGAGGAUGCGAGCGUUAUCCGGAUUUAUUGGGUUUAAAGGGUGCGUAGGCGGAUUUUUAAGUCAGCGGUAAAAUGUCCGGGCUCAACCCGGGCCGGCCGUUGAAACUGGGGAGCUUGAGUGGGCGAGAAGUAGGCGGAAUGCGUGGUGUAGCGGUGAAAUGCAUAGAUAUCACGCAGAACUCCGAUUGCGAAGGCAGCAUACCGGCGCCCGACUGACGCUGAGGCACGAAAGCGUGGGGAUCGAACAGGAUUAGAUACCCCAGUAGUC
This 460-nucleotide ribosomal RNA is filed under the name uncultured bacterium. RNAcentral describes it as "partial 16S ribosomal RNA". It matches the Rfam family "Bacterial small subunit ribosomal RNA", at positions 338 to 795 of the family's 1533-position model. The record is from RNAcentral.